CAGUCGCCACGGUAAUUCGAAGGGGGCUAGCGUUGCUCGGAAUGACUGGGCGUAAAGGGCGCGUACGCGGUUCGUACAGUUGGAUGUGAAAUUCCUGGGCUUAACCUGGGGGCUGCAUUCAAUACGUGCGGGCUUGAGUGUGGAAGAGGGUUGUGGAAUUCCCAGUGUAGGGGUGAAAUUCGUAGAGAUGUGGAGGAACACCAGUGGCGAAGGCGACUCUCUGGUCUGUAACUGACGCUGAGGAGCGAAAGCGUGGGGAGCGAACAGGAUUAGAUACCCGGGUAGUCCCUGUCUCUUAUAC
This 301-nucleotide ribosomal RNA is filed under the name uncultured bacterium. RNAcentral's name for it is "partial 16S ribosomal RNA". It matches the Rfam family "Bacterial small subunit ribosomal RNA", at positions 509 to 807 of the family's 1533-position model. The record is from RNAcentral.